AGAGUGGCCGGGGGGGCGCCAUCCAGUGGCCCCAGCACCGGGGGCCGGCUAAGGGAUGCCAGCCCAGCACGACCUGAGCCACGGUGGCCUGGCUUCCCCAGGGGGGUGCAGGCUGGGUCGCAGCCCGGUGGGCCCUCGAAGGCGGGCACGCGUCUUGCGUGGGCCGUGCGUUGCCCGUUGUGCGCAAAUCCCAUGCCAGCCGAGGGGCAUCCCUGCGCGUAUUGAGGCAGAUUACCCUGCGGCUGCCGGCGUGCCUCGGCCAGACAGGCGGGGAAUCGCAGGGCGUUUCUGUUUGUGUCUAAACCCGCACAAGGCACACCCUGACCCUGGGUCCAUGUCGAAGCUGCAGCGCGAUUUUAUUAUACGUAUUUCUUGGUUGCUCCUGCCUGACUCUCUAGCAAAAAGGAGCAGUGAGACGCUUCUGCGGGAACGGGAGGAGAAGCCGCAUCUGCUGGCCAAGCGUGAGUGACGGAAAAUUGGAUUCUGCCGCUGCUUGUUGUGUUGAUCCCGGCUGCUUGGAAGAGAACGUACGGAUCAUGUUCGGCUUGUGAAAACGCUGCAUCUUAAAAAGCGAUGUCCCUGUUGUUCACCCGCUCCAACUCCAUCGUCGCCAACAAGAAGGACAAAAGACACAUGGCGGAAGUCAGCGCUUCCCCGCUCAAGCAUUUUGUCACCGCCAAGAAGAAGAUCAAUGGCAUCUUUGAGCAGCUGGCCUCCUACAUCCAAGAGAGCGCCACGUUCCUGGAAGAGACGCACAGGAACGCGGAGCUGGACCCGGUCACCACGGAGGAGCAGGUGCAGGAGGUCAAGGGCUACCUGUCCAAGGUCAGCGGCAUCGCCGAAGUCCUGGCCCGGCGGCACAUGAAGGUGGCCUUCUUCGGGCGGACAAGCAACGGGAAGAGCACGGUGAUCAACGCCAUGCUGUGGGACAAGGUCCUCCCCUCCGGCAUCGGGCACACCACCAACUGCUUCCUCCGCGUGGAGGGGACCGACGGCCACGACGCCUUUCUGCUCACCGAGGGCUCCGAGGAGAAGCAGAGCGUCAAGACGGUCAAUCAGCUGGCCCACGCCCUGCACCAGGACGAGCUGCUGACCGCCGGAGGGCUGGUCAGCGUCAUGUGGCCGAACUGCAAGUGCCCGCUCCUCAAGGACGACCUGGUCCUGAUGGACAGCCCCGGGAUCGACGUCACGACCGAGCUGGACAGCUGGAUCGACAAGUUCUGCCUGGACGCCGACGUCUUCGUUCUGGUGGCCAACUCCGAGUCCACGCUGAUGCAGACGGAGAAGCAGUUCUUCCACAAGGUCAACGCGCGGCUUUCCCGGCCCAACAUCUUCAUCCUGAACAACCGCUGGGACGCCUCGGCCUCCGAGCCGGAGUACAUGGAGGAGGUUCGCCGGCAGCACAUGGAGCGCUGCACCAGCUUCCUGGUGGACGAGCUGGGGGUCGUGGACCGCGCGCAGGCCGGGGACCGCAUCUUCUUCGUCUCUGCCAAGGAGGUCUUGAGUGCCAGGAUCCAGAAAGCACAGGGGAUGCCUGAGGGAGGUGGUGCGCUGGCCGAGGGAUUCCAGGUGCGCAUGUUCGAGUUCCAGAACUUCGAGCGGCGAUUCGAGGAGUGCAUCUCGCAGUCGGCCGUGAAGACCAAGUUCGAGCAACACACGGUCCGGGCCAAGCAGAUCGCGGAGGAGGUCCGGCGCAUCAUGGACUGCUUGCACGUGGCCGCUCAGGAGCAGAGGGUCUACUGCCUCGAGAUGCAGGAGGAGCGGCAGGAGCGGCUGGGCUUCAUCGACAAGCAGCUGGACCUGCUCACGCACAACUACAAGCUGAAGAUCAAGGAGAUCACGGAGGAGGUGGAGCGGCAGGUGUCGCACGCCAUGGCCGAAGAAAUCCGGCGCCUCUCCGUGUUGGUGGAAGAUUUCCAGCUCGACUUCCACCCGUCACAAGUGGUCAUCAAAGUUUACAAGAACGAGCUGCACCGGCACGUCGAGGAGGGCCUGGGGCGGAACAUGUCGGAGCGCUGCUCCAGCGCCAUCACGGCCUCGCUGCAGGCCACGCAGCAGGAGAUGAUCGGAGGACAUCCAGUUCCACUUCUCCCUGGGCUGGACGAUGCUGGUGAACCGCUUCCUGGGCCCCAAGAGCACCCGGCGGGCCCUGAUGGGCUGUGGCGACCAGGUCCCGCGCCCGCUGCCCCUGACGCCGGCGAACCCGAGCCUGCCCCCGCUGCCCCAGGGGUCCCUGACGCAGGAGGAGCUGAUGGUCUCCAUGGUGACCGGCCUGGCCUCCCUCACCUCCAGGACGUCCAUGGGCAUCCUCGUGGUCGGCGGAGUGGUCUGGAAAGCUGUCGGCUGGAGGCUGAUCGCCCUCUCCUUUGGCCUCUACGGCCUCCUUUACGUCUACGAGCGCCUCACCUGGACCACCAAGGCCAAAGAGCGGGCCUUCAAGCGCCAGUUCGUGGAGUACGCCAGCGAGAAGCUGCAGCUGAUCGUCAGCUACACGGGCUCCAACUGCAGCCACCAAGUCCAGCAAGAGCUCGCCGGAACCUUUGCGCAGCUCUGCCAGCAGGUCGAUGUCACCAGAGCGGAGCUUGAGAAGGAAAUCGGUGCCCUGAAUCAGAAAAUCGAAGUCCUCGACACGCUGCAGAGCAAAGCCAAGCUCCUCAGGAAUAAAGCGGGCUGGUUGGACAGCGAGCUGAACAUGUUCACGAACCAGUACUUGGAGCAGAGCAGAUAAGACGGCGAAGGCGGGCGACGGCGCUUCACGUACCUCUGCUCGCGAGAAGAGCUCCAGGUGGCGGGGACUCCUGGGAAGCCCCCGCAUUCCCAGGCCCCCUUCCCGCCCUGGGGCCGAGGGAUUCCCCACCAUGCCUCCGCUCUGCACGAUCCCGGUCCCUCCAACACCCCCCUCCGACGCCGCCCCCCACGGGUGAUCCUUGAGCAACGAGUUUAGCUGGAGGCGCGCCUGCCUGUCCGCCUUUCGAACAGGCAGGUGUUCUCCGCCACGCUCUCUUUUUAGCCCACGAUGAAAUGUCAAGAUUGAGAAAUCCCCUUUCGGGCGGGUUUGGUGUCUAAUCAGUCUUAAUGAAUGAAUGAAUGUCCACUGAUUUGUUUUUUAAAAGGUGGGAGGAAUCGUCUUAUAUUCCAGAAGGUAGCUUUUCCCUACCUGGAGCUUUCCAGAUGCGUCCCCUGCAUGGCCAGUGGUUGGGGACUAUGGGCGCUGUAGUCCAAGGCACUGGCCUGGGCACUACUGCCGGGAGGGAAGUAAGCAUAUUGUCCAGCCAAAGAAAAAGCAGGUUUUCAAGUCUGCCUUGCAGGCAUGCCCAUAACCAGAACUCUCCUUUUCUGAAUCAAAAUGGGAUAAAAGUGAUUAAUUUAGGGUAGGUUAUGUCCUUUGUCUGCAGGAGGCAAUUGUUCUCUCCACGGCAUGAUCUUUCUCUCCCGUAAGAAAGCCAUGCGCAGUCUAGACGGAUUGCAAACAGAAUUAUUCCCCUGAUGGGAAAUUCUGUUUUUUUCAGAGGGGACGUUGGGUUUCUUGCGCAUUCAGGUGACAUCAAAGGUGUCCUGUUUGUGCAACCAAAUUUGGUUUGUUUGUUUAGUGAGGUGUGUCUGGCUAGGUGGGAAAGGACCGUUGCUGGUAGCCGUGAAGCGCUUCUGUUUGCCCAUCUGGUCUUGGCAAACCACCCAGAUGAGGCUGAAAUGUGGACAAGAUUUAGCAGCCUCCCCAUACUAGGCGGGUGGGUGGGAUUCAGCUUCCAGUCCUCAUGAAGUUAGUGAAACGAAUGUAAGCACAGAUGAAUUUGCUGAGAACGGACCCGCGAAUCGCAAAGUGCAGGGUUGAAAUGCCCCCAGCCCAGAAAAAAGGGGCCAGAGUGUGACCUCUGGGAAUCUUUAUUAAGUUCCUGAGCUAGUGUGGGUCUACUGUUGAUUGUUUGGGAAGUCGAGUCCUUUCUGUUUCCCCCCCUACAAAAUGCUCCUUUUCCACCCUACACCUUAAAUAUCCUUGUUCCAGAUCCUCGAAAAAACCAUUCCUUUUUACUCCUGCACACUGUGGUCUUUCGAUGGCUUCCCGGUCAUUUUCAUACAUAGGCUGAAGGCAUUUCAGCACAAAACAAGGGAAGGUGGCUGAUUUGGGCUUGUACCCCCACCUCCAUUUAACAUUUCCCCCCCCCCCCCGUGUGUGUGUGUGUGUACACAAACCAGAGAAACACAGCUCCCCAUCACACCCGCGGCACCCGCUCCAAACAAGAAACCCCGCUAUUCCGGAGACACUCGGACAGGACACGCUUUGCAAAUACACAUCGGUAGCGUGUCGUGUUGCGAUGGGGAACGUGGCGCUGCGAUCUGUAUCUGCUGUGCACAGUUUGCGUCCGGCGUUUGCACGUGCGUCUGUCCCCGACCCAGCUCAGGUGCCGCUUUUCCCAUUCCAAACUGGCCCUUCGACAGCAGAGGUGCACAGGUGAAAACACAAGGUGAAACGGGUGUCGUUUAAAGCCCCCCCCCCCCACGCUGAGGUCCCCAGCUCCAUUAAUCCUCCGGGCAAAUUUUUAGUUCAACCCGAUCAAUAAGGCAUUCAGUUCUUAAAACCCAAUUUGGCUAACUUUCUCAGCUGGUGCGACAAGUCAGCUGUUGACUCUGGCUUUGGGUAGCAAGACCGUCAGAGCUGCAGAACAAAGAGUUCAUUGUUCUUUUUCUUCUUUGUAAAGUUGAAACGAAUGCACUUUAUUUUUACUGUAUUAUUCUUUAUUGCUGCUAAACCCAGACAGAUCGCUUGCAUUGACUCGAGGGCUUUUCCAGCACCACCUCAUACUGUGCUCUGGCGGUCAGUUUUCUUAGAGUUUGGCACAAAUAGAAACCAACAGUAAAAGAAAUGAAUUCGACAAAA
Varanus komodoensis (Komodo dragon) is the source of this 4876-nucleotide RNA transcript. It is a transcript of the gene named mitofusin 2, with no coding region annotated. The record is from RefSeq and is a predicted model, not a curated record. The transcript has 19 exons. NCBI's taxonomy places the organism in Eukaryota, Metazoa, Chordata, Lepidosauria, Squamata, Varanidae.